UGGCGGUAAAUCACUAUGACUUAGAAUUUUUAUUGGAACAAGCAAAUAAAUUAUUCAGUAGAGAUAAUUGGGCUCAUGAAAUAAUUGAUCAAACAAUUGAUUUUGUAAAUGAAAAUAAUAAAAUUGUUUAUGUUGGGUGUUCGACGGUGGUAAGAGUUCUUCUCAAAUCUGGAAGAUUUCAUGAAAAUGUAGGGUUUCAUGAAGGCGUGUCUGAGUCCACUGGGAAAGCUUUCGAGGAUGCGAGAAAAAUAUCAUACACGGAUGCCCUAUAUAGGACAUUACUAUCAUUCGAAGAAUUUGGCGAACUGAUAAUUAAAAUUGAAGAAAAAAAAAAAAGAUUAGAAAAACAAAAAAAAUUAAAAAAUGAUUGGAUAAAAAAAAGUAAUAAUAUAUUGAUAAAAUAAUAAGAACUAAUCCUGAUUAAACAAAGCGAUUUACUCAAUAAUAAAUAUGUAUCUAUAUAGCAUUAAGAUUAAAUCGUUUUGAAUUAUUUUGAAUCGUUUCUUUUAAUCAGGGAAUUAAUUAAUCGCUAUCAUAAUAUAAACAUUUGAUAUUUAAUAUAGAUAUGGUGGAAGCUACAGUUAGUAAUAAAAUCUUAGAGGAAAUGGAAAAAGAUUCGAUGACAGAAGUUUAAUUAAAAAAUAAUUGAUUUAAUAAGAAUUACGUUAUGUGAUAAUUAAUUGUUCAUAAAAAUAUUUUAA
Microplitis demolitor is the source of this 701-nucleotide long non-coding RNA. RefSeq lists it as uncharacterized. The record is from RefSeq and is a predicted model, not a curated record. Lineage: Eukaryota; Metazoa; Arthropoda; Insecta; Hymenoptera; Braconidae. The transcript has 3 exons.